CGCAGCCGCGGUAAUUCCAGCUCCAAUAGCGUGUAUUAAAGUUGUUGUGGUUAAAAAGCUCGUAGUUGAACCUUGGGCCUGGCUGGCCGGUCCGCCUCACCGCGUGUACUGGUCCGGCCGGGCCUUUCCCUCUGUGGAACCCCAUGCCCUUCACUGGGUGUGGCGGGGAAACAGGACUUUUACUUUGAAAAAAUUAGAGUGCCCCAGGCAGGCCUAUGCUCGAAUACAUUAGCAUGGAAUAAUAGAAUAGGACGUGUGGUUCUAUUUUGUUGGUUUCUAGGACCGCCGUAAUGAUUAAUAGGGACAGUCGGGGGCAUCAGUAUUCAAUUGUCAGAGGUGAAAUUCUUGGAUUUAUUGAAGACUAACUACUGCGAAAGCAUUUGCCAAGGAUGUUUUCAUUAAUCAGGAACGAAAGUUAGGGGAUCGAAGACGAUCAGAUACCGUCGUAGUCUUAACCAUAAACUAUGCCGACUAGGGAUCGGACGAUGUUAUUUAUUGACUCGCUCGGCACCUUAUGGGA
RNAcentral lists this unclassified non-coding RNA (520 nucleotides) under uncultured Paraglomus. Its description in RNAcentral is "SSU rRNA". It matches the Rfam family "Eukaryotic small subunit ribosomal RNA", at positions 569 to 1095 of the family's 1831-position model. The record is from RNAcentral. Lineage: Eukaryota; Fungi; Glomeromycota; Glomeromycetes; Paraglomerales; Paraglomeraceae.